UAACGAAUCUUCCGCAAUGGGCGAAAGCCUGACGGAGCAAUGCCGCGUGUGGGAUGAAGCGCCUUCGGCGUGUAAACCACUGUCAGGGAAUGGAACCAAUGAUUAUUCCCAAAGGAAGUGGCGACUAACUCUGUGCCAGCAGUCGCGGUAAUACAGAGGCCACAAGCGUUAGUCGGAAUCACUGGGCUUAAAGGGUGCGUAGGCGGGCCCGCAAGCGUCUUGUGAAAUCCCAUGGCUCAACCAUGGAAUUGCAGGGCGAACUGCGGGUCUUGAGGCAGGUAGGGGCCGGAAGAACAGUAGGUGGAGCGGUGAAAUGCGUAGAUAUCUACUGGAAUGCCGAUGGGGAAGCCGUCCGGCUGGGCCUGUCCUGACGCUGAGGCACGAAAGCGUGGGGAGCAAACAGGAUUAGAUACCCGUGUAGUCCCUGAGCGGGCUGGCAAGGCGCAU
This 447-nucleotide ribosomal RNA is filed under the name uncultured bacterium. Its description in RNAcentral is "bacterial SSU rRNA". It matches the Rfam family "Bacterial small subunit ribosomal RNA", at positions 355 to 825 of the family's 1533-position model. The record is from RNAcentral.